Molecule: ribosomal RNA, 550 nt
Filed under: uncultured bacterium
Lineage: Bacteria
Description: bacterial SSU rRNA
Rfam family: Bacterial small subunit ribosomal RNA
Source: RNAcentral
UAGGGAAUCUUCCGCAAUGGGCGAAAGCCUGACGGAGCAACGCCGCGUGAGUGAUGAAGGUCUUCGGAUCGUAAAACUCUGUUAUUAGGGAAGAACAUAUGUGUAAGUAACUGUGCACGUCUUGACGGUACCUAAUCAGAAAGCCACGGCUAACUACGUGCCAGCAGCCGCGGUAAUACGUAGGUGGCAAGCGUUAUCCGGAAUUAUUGGGCGUAAAGCGCGCGUAGGCGGUUUUUUAAGUCUGAUGUGAAAGCCCACGGCUCAACCGUGGAGGGUCAUUGGAAACUGGAAAACUUGAGUGCAGAAGAGGAAAGUGGAAUUCCAUGUGUAGCGGUGAAAUGCGCAGAGAUAUGGAGGAACACCAGUGGCGAAGGCGACUUUCUGGUCUGUAACUGACGCUGAUGUGCGAAAGCGUGGGGAUCAAACAGGAUUAGAUACCCUGGUAGCCCACGCCGUAAACGAUGAGUGCUAAGUGUUAGGGGGUUUCCGCCCCUUAGUGCUGCAGCUAACGCAUUAAGCACUCCGCCUGGGGAGUACGACCGCAAGGUUG